This 757-nucleotide ribosomal RNA is filed under the name uncultured Hyphomicrobium sp. RNAcentral's name for it is "bacterial SSU rRNA". It matches the Rfam family "Bacterial small subunit ribosomal RNA", at positions 65 to 866 of the family's 1533-position model. Lineage: Bacteria; Pseudomonadati; Pseudomonadota; Alphaproteobacteria; Hyphomicrobiales; Hyphomicrobiaceae. The record is from RNAcentral.
AACGCUGUAGCAAUACAGAGUGGCAGACGGGUGAGUAACGCGUGGGAACCUUCCCAAUGGUGCGGAAUAGUCCAGGGAAACUUGGGGUAAUACCGCAUAAGCCCUUAGGGGGAAAGAUUUAUCGCCAUUGGAUGGGCCCGCGUCGGAUUAGCUAGUUGGUGAGGUAAUGGCUCACCAAGGCAACGAUCCGUAGCUGGUUUGAGAGAAUGACCAGCCACACUGGGACUGAGACACGGCCCAGACUCCUACGGGAGGCAGCAGUGGGGAAUCUUGGACAAUGGGCGCAAGCCUGAUCCAGCCAUGCCGCGUGAGUGACGAAGGCCUUAGGGUUGUAAAGCUCUUUUGCCGGGGACGAUAAUGACGGUACCCGGAGAAUAAGUCCCGGCUAACUUCGUGCCAGCAGCCGCGGUAAUACGAAGGGGACUAGCGUUGUUCGGAAUUACUGGGCGUAAAGCGCACGUAGGCGGAUUUGUAAGUCAGGGGUGAAAUCCCGGGGCUCAACCUCGGAACUGCCUUUGAUACUGCAAAUCUCGAGUCCGAUAGAGGUGGGGUGGAAUUCCUAGUGUAGAGGUGAAAAUUCGUAGAUUUUAGGAAGAACACCGGUGGCGAAGGCGGCCCACUGGAUCGGUACUGACGCUAAGGUGCGAAAGCGUGGGGGAGCAAACAGGAUUAAAUACCCUGGUAGUCCACGCCGUAAACGAUGGAUGCUAGCCGUCGGCAAGCUUGCUUGUCGGUGGCGCACCUAACGCAUUAAGCA